AGUAGCAAUACUUUGGUGGCGACCGGCGCACGGGUGAGUAACGCGUAUGCAACCCAUCUAUCAGAGGGGAAUAACCCGGCGAAAGUCGGACUAAUACCGCAUAAAACAGGGACACCGCAUGGUGAUAUUUGUUAAAGAAAUUCGCUGAUAGAUGGGCAUGCGUUCCAUUAGGUAGUUGGUGAGGUAACGGCUCACCAAGCCGACGAUGGAUAGGGGAACUGAGAGGUUGGUCCCCCACACUGGUACUGAGACACGGACCAGACUCCUACGGGAGGCAGCAGUGAGGAAUAUUGGCCAAUGGGCGAGAGCCUGAACCAGCCAAGUCGCGUGAAGGAAGAAGGAUCUAUGGUUCGUAAACUUCUUUUGCAGGGGAAUAAAGUGCAGGACGUGUCCUGUUUUGUAUGUACCCUGAGAAUAAGGAUCGGCUAACUCCGUGCCAGCAGCCGCGGUAAUACGGAGGAUCCGAGCGUUAUCCGGAUUUAUUGGGUUUAAAGGGUGCGUAGGUGGUUUGAUAAGUCAGCGGUGAAAGUUUGCAGCUUAACUGUAAAAAUGCCGUUGAAACUGUCGGACUUGAGUGUAAAUGAGGUAGGCGGAAUGCGUGGUGUAGCGGUGAAAUGCUUAGAUAUCACGAAGAACUCCGAUUG
This 644-nucleotide ribosomal RNA is filed under the name uncultured Bacteroidales bacterium. RNAcentral describes it as "bacterial SSU rRNA". It matches the Rfam family "Bacterial small subunit ribosomal RNA", at positions 75 to 715 of the family's 1533-position model. Lineage: Bacteria; Pseudomonadati; Bacteroidota; Bacteroidia; Bacteroidales. The record is from RNAcentral.